This 76-nucleotide microRNA precursor is filed under the name Myotis lucifugus (little brown bat). RNAcentral describes it as "mir-9229 microRNA precursor family". It matches the Rfam family "mir-9229 microRNA precursor family". The record is from Rfam by way of RNAcentral. Lineage: Eukaryota; Metazoa; Chordata; Mammalia; Chiroptera; Vespertilionidae.
GAGACACCCUUAUGGGGUAGAACUUGCUUCAGUGGGGCUUUGGUGCUCACGGAGUCUGCCUCUUGAGUGUGUCCCU